This 484-nucleotide ribosomal RNA is filed under the name uncultured bacterium. RNAcentral describes it as "partial 16S ribosomal RNA". It matches the Rfam family "Bacterial small subunit ribosomal RNA", at positions 30 to 507 of the family's 1533-position model. The record is from RNAcentral.
AUUGAACGCUGGCGGCAGGCCUAACGCAUGCAAGUCGAGCGGAUGAAGGGAGCUUGCUCCUGGAUUCAGCGGCGGACGGGUGAGUAAUGCCUAGGAAUCUGCCUGGUAGUGGGGGAUAACGUCCGGAAACGGGCGCUAAUACCGCAUACGUCCUGAGGGAGAAAGUGGGGGAUCUUCGGACCUCACGCUAUCAGAUGAGCCUAGGUCGGAUUAGCUAGUUGGUGGGGUAAAGGCCUACCAAGGCGACGAUCCGUAACUGGUCUGGGAGGAUGAUCAGUCACACUGGAACUGAGACACGGUCCAGACUCCUACGGGAGGCAGCAGUGGGGAAUAUUGGACAAUGGGCGAAAGCCUGAUCCAGCCAUGCCGCGUGUGUGAAGAAGGUCUUCGGAUUGUAAAGCACUUUAAGUUGGGAGGAAGGGCAGUAAGUUAAUACCUUGCUGUUUUGACGUUACCAACAGAAUAAGCACCGGCUAACUUCGUG